CUUUAACAUUUGCAUCAAAUAGAAUCAAGACCUACAUAGAAAAGGCUGUCAUAAUAUCUGAGAAAUGAGUUCUUAAAAUUUUUAGUCAAGGAAAGUAUGUCUCCAUCUACAAUAUAUUCAGACUUUCAGAACUCCGUGGGCAGCACUGCACGAUUCAGCAUAAUUUGUAUUUACAAUGAUUAUGCUUGGUGGUGAGUCCCUGAAGAUCCAGUAUAAAAAAGAAUUUGCUUCUUUUAUGUUAAAGCUAUAAUCUCUGCUAGAUGUUUUGAAAUUGUGUUUAUGUUCUGAAGGUAUUAAAUAAUAUGGACUUUUCUAAGGAGAUGAGAUUCAUUAGAAAAUUCUAGACUGUGAAUUCUGGAGUCUUGGACAUAAAUUCUCCCAGAU
RNAcentral lists this long non-coding RNA (384 nucleotides) under Bos taurus (domestic cattle). Its description in RNAcentral is "long non-coding RNA NONBTAT000777". The record is from RNAcentral. Lineage: Eukaryota; Metazoa; Chordata; Mammalia; Artiodactyla; Bovidae.